CCUACGGGGGGCAGCAGUGGGGAAUAUUGCACAAUGGGGGGAACCCUGAUGCAGCCAUGCCGCGUGUGUGAAGAAGGCCUUCGGGUUGUAAAGCACUUUCAGUAAGGAGGAAAGGGAUGUAGUUAAUAACUGCAUUCUGUGACGUUACUUACAGAAGAAGCACCGGCUAACUUCGUGCCAGCAGCCGCGGUAAUACGAGGGGUGCAAGCGUUAAUCGGAAUUACUGGGCGUAAAGCGUUCGUAGGCGGUUGAUUAAGCAAGAUGUGAAAGCCCAGGGCUCAACCUUGGAACUGCAUUUUGAACUGUUCAACUAGAGUACUGUAGAGGGUGGUGGAAUUUCCAGUGUAGCGGUGAAAUGCGUAGAGAUUGGAAGGAACAUCAGUGGCGAAGGCGGCCACCUGGACAGAUACUGACGCUGAGGAGCGAAAGCUGGGGAGCGAACAGGAUUAGAUACCCUGGUAGUCCACACCGUAAACGAUGUCAACUAGCCGUUUGUGUCCUAGAGACGUGAGUGGCGCAGCUAACGCACUAAGUUGACCGCCUGGGGAGUACGGCCGCAAGGUUAAAACUCAAAUGAAUUGACGGGGGCCCGCACAAGCGGUGGAGCAUGUGGUUUAAUUCGAUGCAACGCGAAGAACCUUACCAUCCCUUGACAUCCCAGAGAAGAGACUAGAGAUAGACUUUUGCCUUCGGGAACUCUGUGACAGGUGCUGCAUGGCUGUCGUCAGCUCGUGUUGUGAAAUGUUGGUUAGUCCCGCAACGAGCGCAACCCCUAUCCUUAUUUGCCCAGCGAGUUAUGUCGGGAACUCUAAGGAGACUGCCGGUGAUAAACCGGAGGAAGGUGGGGACGACGUCAAGUCAUCAUGGCCCUUACGGGAUGGGCUACACACGUGCUACAAUGGCAGGUACAGAGGGCAGCGAUACCGCGAGGUGGAGCGAAUCCCAGAAAGCUUGUCGUAGUCCGGAUUGGAGUCUGCAACUCGACUCCGUGAAGUCGGAAUCGCUAGUAAUCGUAGAUCAGAAUGCUACGGUGAAUACGUUCCCGGGCCUUGUACACACCGCCCGUC
This 1067-nucleotide ribosomal RNA is filed under the name uncultured bacterium. RNAcentral's name for it is "bacterial SSU rRNA". It matches the Rfam family "Bacterial small subunit ribosomal RNA", at positions 338 to 1398 of the family's 1533-position model. The record is from RNAcentral.